Long non-coding RNA from Benincasa hispida (wax gourd), 1416 nucleotides. RefSeq lists it as uncharacterized. The record is from RefSeq and is a predicted model, not a curated record. NCBI's taxonomy places the organism in Eukaryota, Viridiplantae, Streptophyta, Magnoliopsida, Cucurbitales, Cucurbitaceae.
UAUGUUAUCGAUUUUAUUAUGUAAUAUAAUUUGAACUUUUUAGGUAAUGGAGCCUGAUCCUUCUAAUCCUGUCCAAUUGUACCAACAAAACACGCAUCGUUCACAGGCGGUAUAGGAUAGUUCAUCCACUAUAGUGUUUGAGUUGUUGGAGGAGGGAGGCGACUGCACAGAGUACUAUUCCAUUUGAUCAUCGCAUCAUUCCAUACGUUCAGAAGGCGGGUUUUCUUGGGGUUGCAAGAUUGGUUUCAUCCAGCUUGAUUGGCACCUGAUUACUGCUCUGGAGACCAGAGACCCACACAUUUCACCUACCCUGUGGGGAAUGCACAAUUACGCUACAGGAUGCCGCCGUACAAUUUGAGUUAAGAAUGGACGGGCAACCACUGACAAACUCACUACAGUAUGAUUGGAAGAACGUCUGUGAAGAGCUCUUAGGCGUUCUACCAGAGGAUCUGAAGGGAUUAAGAUUGAGUAUCCCUUGGUUGGCGUCCCAGUUUCCUGAAUUAUCUCCCGAUGCCGACGACAUCAGCGUACGUAGGUACGCAUGAGCAUACAUCAUGCAGCUUAUUGGAGGAUUUUUAUUUGCCGACAAGUCAAAUACUCUGGUGCAUCUCAUGUUCCUCCCAUAUUGUCUGAUUUCGAGCAGCUGGUACGUACUCGUGGGGUGGUGCAUGUCUUGCAUGGUUGUAAAUUUUGUCGGGUUUCCAAUGCACAAGCAUUGGAAAUAGCGGGCCACUGAUACUAUUACAAGUGUAGACUUAUAAUCGAUUUCCAAUCGUAGCACCACAAGUCCAAACAGGCCCCAGAUCAUCGGCCACUUAGUGCCAGAUGGACUGGUGUAUUAGCUGACUCUGAACAGUCAGCAAAUAUGUUACUCGUGUACAGGAAAACAUUCGACAUGCUGACGCCCAAUCAGACAUUUCGGGAUGCGACAAACGAUACCUUCGUUGUUCUAUACACUUCCAGAACUACACCAGAUCGAUUUAAGAGGUAAGCACGACCAAGACUGGCGUCAAAUCCAUGCGGAGUAUUUAUCCUACUAGCAUGGACGGCGUGAUCGUUGUGCACAAGGAGAAUUAACAGAUGGGCCAGUUGUAUCAGACGACUACUUUCCUCGGUACAAUUCGAUCACGAGGCGAUUUAUCUCACCAGACGGCGCUUACUAUUAUUGCAUGUGCAGAACAACCUUCCAGAAUUGGGUUCAAUGUGUCAGCAAACAUUGAUGAACGUAGAAAGUAUUAUUCAACAAACAAGACGACUCAAUGUUGUUGACACCGAUCGAAGACGUAUUCGUCAUAGAGGACAACGACAACGACAACGGGGUGAACCUAAUUUAGAGGGACACGAAAACAACCCCAUGAGGAGUAAGGGCCAGGGGGGUCGUUUUUAAAUCUCAUAUUAUAUCAUUUUCAAAUUGCA